RNAcentral lists this ribosomal RNA (433 nucleotides) under uncultured bacterium. RNAcentral's name for it is "partial 16S ribosomal RNA". It matches the Rfam family "Bacterial small subunit ribosomal RNA", at positions 29 to 507 of the family's 1533-position model. The record is from RNAcentral.
AGUGAACGCUGGCGGCAUGCCUAACACAUGCAAGUCGAACGAGACCUUCGGGAGCUGUGGCGCACGGGUGUGUCACGUGUCGGAAGCUGCCUUCAGGUUUGGCAUACCUCUGAGACAUUUGUGCUAAUGUCGGAUGAUGUCUUCUGACCAAAGAUUUAUCGCCUUUCGUUGGGCCCGAGUUGGAUUCGCUAGUUGCUGGGGUAAUGACCUAUCACGGCGACGAUUGAUAGCUUGUUAAAGUGGCUGAUCAGCCACACCGGGAGGGAGACACGGCCCGGAAUCCUACGGGAGGCAGCAAAGGCGAAUAGUGGACAAGCGGCGAAAGCCUGAACGAGCUAUGCCGCGUAAAUGAUGAUGUCCUGAGAGUAGUAAAGCUCUAUUACCCGAGAUGAUAAUGACAGUAUCGGAAGAAUAAGCUCCGGCUAACUCCGUG